Long non-coding RNA from Pecten maximus, 673 nucleotides. RefSeq lists it as uncharacterized. Lineage: Eukaryota; Metazoa; Mollusca; Bivalvia; Pectinida; Pectinidae. The record is from RefSeq and is a predicted model, not a curated record. The transcript is spliced from 3 exons.
CAAAAUCACGUUAUAUAUAUAUACAGUAUAUAUUGGCGACAUUUAAUUUCCCCACUCACGGAAUACAAUCGACAAACUGGGAACAGAAUAUCAAAUUUCGUCUAGCUUUUGGCGACUUAUGAUACCCCUUUCACCGGCAAACACUGAAUUAUCGGACAACAUGAAAUCAGGGACUAAAUUCACCAGCAUUCAUGAUCCUCGGACCACCCGCCCCCUACGCACAGCCGAUUUAUAAAUGUUGCAUCUUUCAAUCAGUGUCAAUCCCAAGAAGAACCCUGAUCAGCUCCUGGAAAAAUCAGUGUUCUUGCAGUUUUGUCAGUCAAAUCUCAAGGAAAGGAUCCCAGAAGAGGAACAUUUACAUUAUUUCAGACUUUUUUCUUUCCUGUGUAGCAAUGCCUCAAACAGCUAACACAUUUUAUAUAGUAUACAAUACAAUGUGUAUUAAUAACAGUCCAGUUAGAGUGCUGUGUUAUGCAGUAAAAAUACUUAAUUCUUGAUGACAUGUUGGUUUUAUGUUUACAUUAAACGGUAGUUAUAAUAUAUACUAAAGAAACAUAGUGGAUAAUGCCUUGUACAGGAGCAGGAGUAUGACAGUGUAAUAGUACAUGACUGCUGCGUUCAUCCAUGGAAGGAAUCUGUUAUUCGAAAUAAAGCUUUCCAUGAGGACGAAAAA